ACACAGUGUGUGUGGUGUCAGAGGUAUGCAUGUGUGCACAUCGUGUGUGUACAGUGUGUGGGGUGUGUGCAUGUAUACAUGGUGUGGGUGCAGUGUGGUGUCUGUGUGUGGUGUCUGUAUGGGGUGUAUGCAUGUGCACAUGGUGUGUGUGCUGUUUGUGUGGUGUCUGUGUGUGGGGUGUGUGUGCAUGUGCACAUGGUGUGGUGUGUGCAGUGUGUGUGUUAUGAGUGACUGCUUUUAGCAUGUGGACAUCAGUCUUCCAGACCAGCUUUCUCCAUGUGUCUGGGAACAUAAGAAACAAGUUUCUGCAAUAAUUGUUACACAGCUUUUCCAGAGAGGGACCAAAUCUCUGUCGUGAGUGGGUAUCUGCAUCAUUUCGCAGGAGGGAAUGUGAUGUCCUGGCUUGGCUCACACCCUCUGUGGGUUUAGGCACGGGUUCCUGCUGGAUCCCUCACUGUGGCCAGAGAGGGAGGGCUCUGUUUCACCACAGGGCACCAGAAGAGGACUGGUGCGUGGGAAGACCAGGUAAUCAUAAUGCUAUUAAUAAUAGCAGUAAUCAUAUUGUUUUAUACAUUGUAUAUGUCAUAAGGAUUUUAACUUUCAUGUAACAUAAUUGCUGUAAAAGUUUCCCCAGUUUGUUUUGUGCUAUUUACCUGGUGUUAAAAUGUUUAAGAAUUUACAUAUUAGGUACGUUAGGUUUAUUCCUUUUUAUAUGGUUUCUGUUUGAAAUUUUGGUUUUAGAAGACAUUCAUUCUCAAGGUCAUAAAACACACACAUCUAAUUUUCUUUUUUCUCUCUCUUUUUUUUUUACAUUUAAUACUGGAAUUAACUUUUAUGUAAGGUGUAGGACCAUGAUUCAAUUCUGUCAUUUUAUAUUCUGAAAUCAUUACCCAAUAUUUUAAUACCACAAAUGGAACAAUCGCUCUGUUUUGUGGGUUUAAAAUGUUACCCUGUUACUAGAUAAAAUUACACUCAAUUUCUGUGUUUUUAAUUCUCUUUCAUUAAUGUGUUUAUUUUUGUGCCAUUUCAAAUUUGUUUAAUUUUGGAUAGUGAUAAUAAUCUUAAAUAUCUUAUAGUAAAUUUUAUAAUAAUGGCUCUCAUUGUAUGUGUGUGUUCAAUAUAUGGAUUUAAAAUCACAUGUUCUUGUUCGAAAAUAUUUUUCUUGGAAUUUUUAUUGGAAUUUGAGCAUAUUUUUAAAUGAUUUACAGCCAACUAAAGAGUUAAUAUUAUUGAGUCCUGUCAUCCAGAAUGUGACAUGCAAAUUCCUCAGACCUCCUUUAAUGCCAUUUAGUCAGAAUUAAUAUGUUAAAUCAAUAUAAAUUAGUAUAAAUGAGUAUAACUAAUGAUUAAAAUAAAUUAAUGUGUUUGGCUCCACAUUUCUGUCUUCUGCCUUCUAUCACUGAUGUUUUAUUCCUAUCCUUGUUGUUUUCUAUAGUUUCUUUUAUUAUGUCUUUUUCUGUCUUGUGAUUUGAAAACUAUAUAACACAUUGUAAUGUUUUAAUUUUUCUAAUUUUUUGCUUUUAAUUUUAACUAAUUUUAUUUUUUAGAGAAGUGCAGGUUCACAGCUAAACGUAGCAGAGAGUACAGACUUCUCAUAUGUCCCUUUCCCCACACACAGCCUCCCCACUACAGCUUCCUGCCUCACAGGAGCACACCUGUGACAACCAGGAACCUACCUUGAUCCUUCAUUAUCACUCAAAGCUUACAGUGCACAUUCACGUUUACUCUUCACGUUGUACGUUCUGAGUCUUGACAAAAGUAUAAUGGCAACGGGAUAUUAUUCACUGCUAACAGGAGAUGAACUAUCAAGCCACAAAAAAAUACAUGGAGGAAACUUAAAUGCAUAUUGCUAAAAGAAGAAGCCAAUCCGAAAAGUCUACGUACUGUUCGAUUCCAAUUAUAUGACGUUCUGGAAACGGUGAAACUAUGGGAUCAGUAGAAAGAUCAGUGGUUGCCAUGGACCAAGGGGAAGGAAGAGAUGGAUACACAGAGCACAGAGAAUCUUCACGGCAGUAAAACCAUUCUGUAUGAUACUAUAAUGGUAGAUAUAUACAUUUGUAAAAAUCUAUCUUAACUUUUAAUCUUUUAAAUUACAUUUUUUUUUGAUGGAGUCUUGCUCUGUCGCAAGGCAGGAGUGCAGUGGCACGAUCUCGGCUUACUGCAACCUCCGCCUCCCGGGUUCAAGCGAGUCUCCUGCCUCGGCCUCCCGAGUAGCUGGAACUACAGGUGCCCGCCACUGUGCCUGGCUAAUUUUUGUAUUUUUAGUAGAGACUGCGUUCACCAUCUUGGCCAGGCUGGUCUUGAACUCCUGACCUUGUGAUUCACCCGCCUUGGCCUCCCAAAGUGCUGGGAUUACAGGCGUCACACACCGCACCUGGCCGUUUUGUUUUAAGAACUGCAGACAAGCUGGGUGCAGUUGCUCAAGCCUGUAAUGUCUGCAUUUUGGGAGGCUGAAGUGGCUGGAUUGCCUGAGCCCCAGAGUUCAAGACCAGGUGGGCAACAUAGUGAGAUC
Molecule: long non-coding RNA, 2512 nt
Filed under: Homo sapiens (human)
Lineage: Eukaryota; Metazoa; Chordata; Mammalia; Primates; Hominidae
Description: HSALNT0149599
Source: RNAcentral